This 77-nucleotide transfer RNA is filed under the name Micavibrio sp. RNAcentral describes it as "tRNA-Met". It matches the Rfam family "tRNA". From Rfam's summary of the family: Transfer RNA (tRNA) molecules are approximately 80 nucleotides in length. Their secondary structure includes four short double-helical elements and three loops (D, anti-codon, and T loops). Lineage: Bacteria; Pseudomonadati; Bdellovibrionota; Bdellovibrionia; Bdellovibrionales; Pseudobdellovibrionaceae. The record is from RNAcentral.
GGCGGUGUAGCUCAGCCGGUUAGAGCAGAGGAAUCAUAAUCCUUGUGUCGGGAGUUCAAGUCUCUCCACCGCUACCA